This 466-nucleotide ribosomal RNA is filed under the name uncultured ciliate. RNAcentral describes it as "SSU rRNA". It matches the Rfam family "Eukaryotic small subunit ribosomal RNA". Lineage: Eukaryota; Ciliophora. The record is from RNAcentral.
AUUUGUCUGGUUAAUUUCCGAUAACGAACGAGACCUUAACCUGCUAACUAGAUCCAAUUAUCCGAUUUUUGCGAUCUUCUUAGAGGGACUAUGUAAUAAAAAUACAUGGAAGUUUGAGGCAAUAACAGGUCAGUGAUGCCCUUAUAUGUCCUGGGCUGCACGCGUGCUACACUGAUGCAUACAACAAGUGCCUAACCAGACAUGGUAUGGUAAUCUCUAAUAUGCAUCGUGAUGGGGAUAGAUCUUUGCAAUUAUAGAUCUUGAACGAGGAAUUCCUAGUAAGUGCAAGUCAUCAUCUUGCAUUGAUUAUGUCCCUGCCCUUUGUACACACCGCCCGUCGCUCCUACCGAUACCGGGUGAUCCGGUGAACCUUUUGGACUCAUUUGGGAAAGAUAAGUAAACCAUAUCACCUAGAGGAAGGAGAAGUCGUAACAAGGUUUCCGUAGGUGAACCUGCRGAAGGAUCA